GAUCAAAUUCUGGCAUCAAACAGGUCACUGACCUCACUAACGCGAGAAGUAUUUUCUUGUUUGAUGAAAUGAAAACGAUCCUCUCUCUGGAACAAAUAUGCCCGGUCGCCGGCAGAUAAAGACGUUUCUGUGGCUGUUUUCUACACGCUGUUUUUACGUCUACUUUUUUAUGUGUAGACAUUUCACAAACAUGAUGUGUAGACAUUUGAC
Long non-coding RNA from Physella acuta, 210 nucleotides. RefSeq lists it as uncharacterized. The record is from RefSeq and is a predicted model, not a curated record. Lineage: Eukaryota; Metazoa; Mollusca; Gastropoda; Physidae.